This 2921-nucleotide ribosomal RNA is filed under the name Klebsiella pneumoniae subsp. pneumoniae. RNAcentral describes it as "23S ribosomal RNA". It matches the Rfam family "Bacterial large subunit ribosomal RNA". Lineage: Bacteria; Pseudomonadati; Pseudomonadota; Gammaproteobacteria; Enterobacterales; Enterobacteriaceae. The record is from RNAcentral.
GGGUUGUGAGGUUAAGCGACUAAGCGUACACGGUGGAUGCCCUGGCAGUCAGAGGCGAUGAAGGACGUGCUAAUCUGCGAAAAGCGUCGGUAAGGUGAUAUGAACCGUUAUAACCGGCGAUGUCCGAAUGGGGAAACCCAGUGCAAUUCGUUGCACUAUCGUUAACUGAAUACAUAGGUUAACGAGGCGAACCGGGGGAACUGAAACAUCUAAGUACCCCGAGGAAAAGAAAUCAACCGAGAUUCCCCCAGUAGCGGCGAGCGAACGGGGAGCAGCCCAGAGUCUGAAUCAGCUUGUGUGUUAGUGGAACGGUCUGGAAAGUCCGACGGUACAGGGUGAUAGUCCCGUACACCAAAAUGCACAGGUUGUGAACUCGAAGAGUAGGGCGGGACACGUGGUAUCCUGUCUGAAUAUGGGGGGACCAUCCUCCAAGGCUAAAUACUCCUGACUGACCGAUAGUGAACCAGUACCGUGAGGGAAAGGCGAAAAGAACCCCGGCGAGGGGAGUGAAAAAGAACCUGAAACCGUGUACGUACAAGCAGUGGGAGCACCUUCGGGUGUGACUGCGUACCUUUUGUAUAAUGGGUCAGCGACUUAUAUUCUGUAGCAAGGUUAACCGUAUAGGGGAGCCGCAGGGAAACCGAGUCUUAACUGGGCGUUAAGUUGCAGGGUAUAGACCCGAAACCCGGUGAUCUAGCCAUGGGCAGGUUGAAGGUUGGGUAACACUAACUGGAGGACCGAACCGACUAAUGUUGAAAAAUUAGCGGAUGACUUGUGGCUGGGGGUGAAAGGCCAAUCAAACCGGGAGAUAGCUGGUUCUCCCCGAAAGCUAUUUAGGUAGCGCCUCGUGAAUUCAUCUUCGGGGGUAGAGCACUGUUUCGGCUAGGGGGUCAUCCCGACUUACCAACCCGAUGCAAACUACGAAUACCGAAGAAUGUUAUCACGGGAGACACACGGCGGGUGCUAACGUCCGUCGUGAAGAGGGAAACAACCCAGACCGCCAGCUAAGGUCCCAAAGUCAUGGUUAAGUGGGAAACGAUGUGGGAAGGCACAGACAGCCAGGAUGUUGGCUUAGAAGCAGCCAUCAUUUAAAGAAAGCGUAAUAGCUCACUGGUCGAGUCGGCCUGCGCGGAAGAUGUAACGGGGCUAAACCAUGCACCGAAGCUGCGGCAGCGACACUAUGUGUUGUUGGGUAGGGGAGCGUUCUGUAAGCCUGCGAAGGUGUGCUGUGAGGCAUGCUGGAGGUAUCAGAAGUGCGAAUGCUGACAUAAGUAACGAUAAAGCGGGUGAAAAGCCCGCUCGCCGGAAGACCAAGGGUUCCUGUCCAACGUUAAUCGGGGCAGGGUGAGUCGACCCCUAAGGCGAGGCCGAAAGGCGUAGUCGAUGGGAAACAGGUUAAUAUUCCUGUACUUGGUGUUACUGCGAAGGGGGACGGAGAAGGCUAUGUUAGCCGGGCGACGGUUGUCCCGGUUUAAGCAUGUAGGCUGGUUAUCCAGGCAAAUCCGGAUAAUCAAGGCUGAGGUGUGAUGACGAGGCACUACGGUGCUGAAGUAACAAAUGCCCUGCUUCCAGGAAAAGCCUCUAAGCAUCAGGUAACAUCAAAUCGUACCCCAAACCGACACAGGUGGUCAGGUAGAGAAUACCAAGGCGCUUGAGAGAACUCGGGUGAAGGAACUAGGCAAAAUGGUGCCGUAACUUCGGGAGAAGGCACGCUGGUGUGUAGGUGAAGCCCCUGCGGGUGGAGCUGAGACCAGUCGAAGAUACCAGCUGGCUGCAACUGUUUAUUAAAAACACAGCACUGUGCAAACACGAAAGUGGACGUAUACGGUGUGACGCCUGCCCGGUGCCGGAAGGUUAAUUGAUGGGGUUAUCCGUAAGGAGAAGCUCUUGAUCGAAGCCCCGGUAAACGGCGGCCGUAACUAUAACGGUCCUAAGGUAGCGAAAUUCCUUGUCGGGUAAGUUCCGACCUGCACGAAUGGCGUAAUGAUGGCCAGGCUGUCUCCACCCGAGACUCAGUGAAAUUGAACUCGCUGUGAAGAUGCAGUGUACCCGCGGCAAGACGGAAAGACCCCGUGAACCUUUACUAUAGCUUGACACUGAACAUUGAGCCUUGAUGUGUAGGAUAGGUGGGAGGCUUUGAAGCGUGGACGCCAGUCUGCGUGGAGCCAACCUUGAAAUACCACCCUUUAAUGUUUGAUGUUCUAACGUUGGCCCCUUACCGGGGUUGCGGACAGUGUCUGGUGGGUAGUUUGACUGGGGCGGUCUCCUCCUAAAGCGUAACGGAGGAGCACGAAGGUUAGCUAAUCCUGGUCGGACAUCAGGAGGUUAGUGCAAUGGCAUAAGCUAGCUUGACUGCGAGCGUGACGGCGCGAGCAGGUGCGAAAGCAGGUCAUAGUGAUCCGGUGGUUCUGAAUGGAAGGGCCAUCGCUCAACGGAUAAAAGGUACUCCGGGGAUAACAGGCUGAUACCGCCCAAGAGUUCAUAUCGACGGCGGUGUUUGGCACCUCGAUGUCGGCUCAUCACAUCCUGGGGCUGAAGUAGGUCCCAAGGGUAUGGCUGUUCGCCAUUUAAAGUGGUACGCGAGCUGGGUUUAGAACGUCGUGAGACAGUUCGGUCCUAUCUGCCGUGGGCGCUGGAGAAUUGAUGGGGGCUGCUCCUAGUACGAGAGGACCGGAGUGGACGCAUCACUGGUGUUCGGGUUGUCAUGCCAAUGGCACUGCCCGGUAGCUAAAUGCGGAAGAGAUAAGUGCUGAAAGCAUCUAAGCACGAAACUUGCCCCGAGAUGAGUUCUCCCUGAGACUUUAAGUCUCCUGAAGGAACGUUGAAGACGACGACGUUGAUAGGCCGGGUGUGUAAGCGCAGCGAUGCGUUGAGCUAACCGGUACUAAUGAACCGUGAGGCUUAACCUUACAACGCCGAAG